Molecule: long non-coding RNA, 3863 nt
Organism: Sciurus carolinensis (gray squirrel)
Lineage: Eukaryota; Metazoa; Chordata; Mammalia; Rodentia; Sciuridae
Exons: 3
Source: RefSeq, a predicted model, not a curated record
CACCCUGUUGAUCACCUUACAAGGGUCAGUUUUGCGUUGUGUGAACUUCACCCCAAUGUUGUGUGCAGAAGGGGGCCGUGCACUCUGGUCCUUUAUUUUGAAAUUGCAGGAAGGAGGUGGAGAGAGUGUGGCGGGCCUUCCCAAGCCAACCCUCUGCGCUGUCCUUUCCACUUCCCCACCCAGCCCUGAGGUCCAGGACGUGGCCUCAGCUGAGUGCUGGCCAGCAGGCUCUCCAAGGAGAAAGUGCUCAGCAGUUACCUUGCCCCCUGUCACUGCCUCGUUUUGUUGGCACACUUUUUCCAGAGUGAAGAAGUACCAGUGAACUGGAACCUGUGCUGACGGAGUGUGGGGUUUGCAAAGACGUGUCUGGAAGACACACCGGGAAGCGCCGGUGUCCAGUGCCGGGCCUUCUGGAGGGAGCGUGGUGUGGUCUCCGACAUUCAGAGGCUCCUCCGUCGGCUGAGGCAGAGGAUGACGGGGCUCUGUGGUGACAGAUGGCAUGCUUACUGGAGCUCAGCGCCAUGUGCCACCCGUCCCAUGAGGGAUGGCCCUCCGGAGCGCAGCGUCCCCGUCACCCUGCCUGAGGUGGACAGUUAGCCCGUGUGGAGGCUGCAGGACAAGGCGUGGCAGGCAGGAAACGCAGGCCCUAGGCCACCUCGCUGUGCCUACGUUCUUCCUCCUGAGAGCCCCACAGCCACUCGCUGCCCACCAUGGCGUCCAUGGGCCUCCGUGGCCUGGCUGUUUGCAGGGAUGGCACCCCCGCUGGAAUGGGGCUCCACCCAGACCCCACGGACCCAGAUGCAGGAGGCUGGGAUGGUUCCAGCCCAGCUCCUCCAGAAACCUGCCCAGUCCUUCCGCUUGCUGUGCUGCCAGGGAGGAGGGAGGCUCUUGGGCCUGCUGGCAGAGCCCUGCCCUUUGCACUGUGCACAUACACACCCCGCGGUAGAUGCAAAGCCCACGGUGGCUUUCCUGCUGGACCCCAGCCCUCUCGCCUGCCUGCGACUCGUCAGCCUCUCUUCUCUCCCUCCAAUUUGCUUUUACAACCAGGCCUUGUUUUCUCCUUCCGUUUGCAUGCUGUAGACAAAGUGUGCACAGACCAGUUUGCCUGAACGUUCCAUCCUUCCCACUUAUUCUGAGCCUUCGUCUGCAGAUGGCUUUCCACGUCACGGAUGCUAGCUGACUUACAGAGCUCCACGUGGCCUUCUAAAAUGCAGGCCAUCUGUGUGAGACUCUAGCCUGAUCAACGGUAGAACUGGCAGACAGAGAGGUGGCCCCCACUGACUCUGCCCAGAACCUGCAGUCCCUGCCAGCCCCGGUUUCCUCAUCCGUGAGGUGGUCCGUCAUGCUCAAAUCGCUCACGACUUCAGGCACGACUGAGUGAGUAAGUCCGUUUUCUGAGCGUUUGCUCACAAACCGGUCACAGAGCCCUGCUCCAGACGCUCAGUGACCACAGCUGCACCAGCAGAGCAGGGCGGAGAGGGCUCAUUGCAUAGCUACCACACAAACCAUGCAGCACGCUCAUUGUGCAGGGAGAAAACGGAUCCAUUCCGCGGUACAGUCCCCUCCACUGGAAGGAAAGUAAUUGCUCGGGAACUGAACUCCACCCUCUGCCAGCUCCCUGGUAACCAUGUCCCGCUUGCCUCGGAUGCUGCUGCUCGUAACAGAAACACCUUUUCUGAUCCAUGCUGGAGAUAAAUCCUAAACUCAGUAAAGCUAACUCGGCCUGUCUGCCCUUCUAACAGGGCGCAGACUCACAGGCUCCGCUGAGAAAGCCAGGUGGGCCCAGCCCAGCAGCCCAGGCUGCUCCGGCUGGUCAUCUAACUUUGCUGUAGUAACCGGAAGUACUUCCAAGUUGAAGGAUAGUGGAAAUCGAGCCCUGGGGACAGCUGCUCCCAUAGCCUGGUACUGAAGCAAGUCUGUGUCAUGCACACAGGAAACACUGUCUGUCUGGAGAUCCACCCCAACUCUGCCGAAGCAAGGGCUACCGGCAAGCCCCUCCCCAGGGGACAGUGCUGCUCUGCAGGCCACCACAGGGCAGUGUCAGGGCAAGUGCUCUCACAUGUGUCUGGGAUAUUGGAAAAGAAACUCAUUGAGUAGCCGACAACUCUGCACCGAGGGAGUUUUCAGUCCACCACCGAGGGGAGGGGGCUUCUCAACAGGUGGGGGCUUCUGGCUGGAGAGUGGGAAGCGGGAAUCAGGGCAGCUGCGCGUUCUCGCGCGGGCGGGGUUCUGUCCUUCCUGGAUUCUCCGUGGUUUUCCACCGAGAGCCAGCCAGGGUUGUGCAAGGUUUCUUUCCCCAGCUUGGCUCGAGGAAGCUGUGGCCAGAGGCAGCCUGAGUGCCCCAUCUUGUCCCGUCUUGUCCCACGCUGACCUGGCCCAGCCCGCAGGGACAGGGCAGGGUCGUCUCUUUUGGGAGCAGCUCCGAGCUCAUAGGCUCUCCAAGUAACAGGGUCAAGUGCCCCAGCGCUGGGACCAGUGCCUGGCUUCAGGCAUGAACCUCCUCAUGGAGGCUGUUCAUCUGCUGAGCAGCCGACUGCACUUGACCAGAGGGGACAUUGGAAGCCAGGAUGGGCUCAAUCCUGCGGGUUCUGGUUGGGGCUCCUGGAGGAGCCGAGCAGCGUGCAGUGCAGGCCUGCGUCGCAGACCCUGCAGGUCGAUCCCACUCUACCUAACCACGGACUCAUGCCGCUGGGCCUCCUCAGGCUCCCCAUCUGUGGUCAGAAGAGGUGGACUUCUCCCGGUCUCCAAGGCGAGUCAGUUCUGAGGUCGGAUUGGGUACUGCAGAUGGACUCCCCUAAAGAGCACCAGGCACGGUCAGCCAACGCAAGAGCUACGGAGGAGCAGCACAGUCCCGGUUCCUCAUGGACAAACGCCCCAGCGUGCUUAACGUGGACUGUUGUGGGGCGCUGGGGUGGGAACUGAAGGUGGAGGCCGACGUCUAGAGGCCUAGGACCUCACUCCUACCAUGUCCCCCUUGCCCCGACCACACCCAACACACCGUAGGCACAAACCCAGCCAGGAAGACCCUCUACACAAAGAGCCGUGCCCCGUGAGCCUGCAGGUGACUCGGCCCCAGGCCAGCUGUCUGGCAGCAGAGGCCCUGCAGGGAGUCCCAGAGCACAGGCUGAUGGCGCGUGGUCUGGGCGCUUUCAACUUUUCCGCAUACUUUCCCGUCUGGACUUCUCUCAUUUCCUUGAAUCAGACCUACAAUAUUAUCCCCUGUGGACCAACCGGCUGGUCCUUCAAUAGCGGUGCUGUCCCGUCGUCCACGCUUCCAGAGCACACACUGCCCCAGACUCGCCGAGCCUCCCCAAGCAGGCCCCUCUGAGCUGUGUGGUUUGCUUCUCUCACGCUGUGACCGCUGGGGCCACAAGAUGCCUGUCCCUCCAACCAAACACACACACUGAAUAGCUAGAGGCGUUUCCCAAGUCCUCCAAGUCAGCGCGGAGGAGCCCCUGUCAGCACAGCCCGGAGCUCGCUGGGAGUGCGGGUGGACACGGGAGAGGCCCGCCCCGACAGCUGUGGGCCGGCGGGACCCCUUUCCGCCUGGCCCAGCGCACUCCAAAUGCAAGCUGCUGGAAAGAUCCUUUUCUCAUUGGCCCUUUGCAAAAUACAACGUCUGGAAUAAAAGUCGGAGACAGCACAGGCACAUCCCCACAGAGACUCCUUCCAAAACCUGGAUGCGUCACAGGACAAGGGACGCUGGACCUCCAAUGGGCCGCCCAGGGGGCUGGAUGGAAGGUGAAAAUCGCAGGUGUCCUUUCUGUCCCAGUGGUCUUCUCGGCCUCCAUCUGGAGAGCAGAGACAGGGAGACGUGGGGUUGAAUAACAGCAUUCAGCAGGUGGCCCGUACAGACCUGCUCC